RNA transcript from Anopheles bellator, 5202 nucleotides. It is a transcript of the gene named blood vessel epicardial substance, with no coding region annotated. Lineage: Eukaryota; Metazoa; Arthropoda; Insecta; Diptera; Culicidae. The record is from RefSeq and is a predicted model, not a curated record. The transcript has 9 exons.
GGUGAAGUAUGCGAAUCGUAGUUCACAUUGAAUGUGGAAUACGAACGAAAUAAGUCCGGCACAGCUUUUCGUUUUACUUUUUGCGGUUUCAUUGCAGAUUUUGUUUCUUCCAUCCUACAUACCACGAGUCUUGCUGUGCCAGUUAACAAAAGUGUAAAAAAAGAAUCGUCCGUAUCUCGCACCGGUGUUAAUGAUUCACAGCCUACUAGAGACAUUUGCUGCUAAAAACAAGAUAGUUCAAUGUUGUCAAGCCGGAAUAAUUAAUUUUACUGGCGUUCGUGAUUAACUUGCAGUCGAAUAGACCGCGAUUUGGGCGCACCCUACGGUAUCCUUAUAAUUCGUCCGCAAGUGAUCGAAUGCGUGUUCUCGAACGUGUUGCCAGCGAGUGCUGCAAGCCGAGUGAAUCUGUUUCGGUUAUCCUCUUGAUUUUCAACUACUUUCUGCUCUGCUUCUUCGCUACCCCCGGGCAAGUGGUCUGCCGGGGGAUUUGUUAACAUCAAGCUGGAUCUCUUGCGGUGGAUCGUUUGUUUCGUAGGUUGCUUGGCACUUGUUGUGGCCGAGGCUGCGGCUUAUGAGCAGCACUCUGCCCAACAGUUGCAGCAGCCGAGCACUGAAGAAACGACAAAGGAGACGGCAAUAUUUACUGUAGAUUCACCGCUGCCACUGGCUUCCACGAGCCAUAAUGAAUCCGAGUGGACCAAGGAUGAAAGGAUAGUCGCAUUGGAAGAUCGACACUCACCACACUACCAUGCACAUCAUCCUGCUGAUGAAGUAGCCUCGGCUGCGGCUUCGAUGCCUGCAGUUUCGGCGCCAUCCGGAAGCGGUGAUGGCACGGUACCGUACGCCUCAUCCAGUAUCAGUGCUAGCCAUGGUCGAGGAUCGCCUGAGCGAAUCGACGAACGAAACGAUUCAGACCGGCCUCAAAAUGAUACGCACGUUCAACAGCGUUACAUACACAAUAGUAAUGAUACAACGUUUCGUUUGCUGUUGACUUCGGCGCAGAAGAAAAGCGGUGCCGAUGGACGAGAUGGUGCUAGCGGGACCACGGCCGUUCGUGACGCCGAUAACUGGCUGUGGGUGCAGUUUGCCUGGUCGUGGCCAGAUUGUUUCUCACUUGGACUUCGGGAGCAUCUCUACUAUCAACUAGGCCAUGGGUUGUUUUUAUUGGCGUUUCUGGCACCAAGCACUGCCUGUGGUGCCCUAUGGUUACGCUGUGCCGCGCUCGCCGGUUGCAUUCUAAUGGGACUCUGGGGUUGGCUUGUGGCUUGUAGCCUUGAUGCUGUCGGCUGGUUCGGACUGUUCCUGGGCGUUAACGCUGUGUACGCGGUAGCGUUGCUGCUCAAACUACGGCCGGUUAAGUUCGAGAAGGAAAUCGAAUCGGUGUACGUGGCCUUGUUCAAGCCGUUGCGUGUGUCCCGCCACCAGUUCAAGAAGGUGCUGAACUGCAUGAAGAUCGUGCGGGCGCUCAAGUUCCAGGAAAUCUAUGUGCAGGAAAAAGUUACCAAAGUUGAUAGUUUGUCACUUGUGCUGUCGGGAAAAUUAGUAGUUUCACAGAAUCAAAAAGCGCUUCAUAUAGUAUUUCCCCAUCAGUUUCUCGAUUCACCCGAAUGGUUCGGUGUCUCAACCGACGAUUUUUUUCAGGUGUCCAUCAUGGCGAUGGAGGAAUCGCGCGUCCUGAUCUGGCAUCGUGACAAGUUGAAGCUGUCAAUCAUGGCGGAACCGUUCCUGCAGACAGUGUUCGACCACAUCCUCAGCAGGGACGUAGUCAAAAAGCUAAUACAGGUCACCCAAGUCAGUGAAACGAUGGCCCAGAGCAACGACUGCAUCUCGUCCGGCGAUGGAGACGACUCGGAGGACAAACCGAUGCUAGUGAUAAAGAGCAAGAUGUCCGACAACGGAGGUCACGGCAUUACUGCCCUAAUAAAUCGUCAACUGCAAGAUGAACAUUUUCCCCUACUGUCGACCGCGCCGCGCAAUCCAUUGCUAACGAUCGACAUGCAAAAGUUGCAUGUACCUCCCGGCGGCCAUAUAUGCAGCACUUGGCGCUGCGAUGAAGCACUCCAUUCUGCUGAGCCUCUGCAACGGCUGAUGGGGCGCGGCUCCGAAGCUCUCUAGAGCUGACGAUGCUGCGGUGGACGGUGGGCCGAAAAACUAUCCACAGAAUUGCGCGUGUUCGAACGAUUGCGAGAUUUUAUUUCUAUACUAAAAAGCGUCGACGGUUAACAAAUAUGCGAUAUCCCAAAUAUUGUCUCUACCAACCAAACAUCACAGAACAACGGCGCACUCAAAGAUGUCGAUAGACAACUUAUAUUCCUUUUGCUUACCAGUUGCGAGAUAAUUAAUUGCCAUGUUACUAAUAAUUAUACUUAGUUUUAGUAUUAAAAGUGAUUGAGCUGUAUAAUUGACUAAAUAUUUUAUAAUUUCUCAAAAAAAUCAUAUAGUAGUUGUUGCAAUAGGGUUGGGGUUUUUCAGAAAAAAUUACAGUUGGGCUCAACAAAACCAAAACGAUGAACAUCCCAUGUGAAACAUAAUUUUUUUAUACCGAUGCCGAUCUGCUGUAUUGUCUGUAGAUCGUCGGCAUACCAUGGCUUUGGUGCUCAGGAUAUUGACUUUCAAUUUUUUUUUUCUUUUAUAUUUAGAGUUUUUCACAAAAACCCUUGUCUAAACACCGUAGCCUACCGUACCGCAGUGAUGCGUCAUAUCAUUCGAAAUUAUAGUUUCCGUCUUUUAUAAUUUUUUUAUCGUUUCUACUUAUCCCUGAACCUGCCGAUACACCUUUUCUUUGUGCCUAUAUGCCUACCUAUGCUGAUUUGUUUUUCAUGAGUAAUAAUUGAUUCUGUGUCGCUGCUGCUAUGAAUGUUGUUACCACUAUUGUCGCUAUUACUUUUACUCUUCAUACUUUUACCGUUGCUAUUACUGCUACAAAAGCCCUUCCCCGGAUCUCGAAGUAUUAUUACUGCGUAGCAAACGAUCAUAAUGCCUGGCGACUGGGGAGAAUCGAUGAGACUGACCACGAAACAGCGGUAUAGGUGAAGGAUGUCAGGAAAUAGCGGUUAACUGGUGGCUUGGUGUACAUGCUGCAGCGGAUGCGAACAUCCUUUUCAACAAAUUAUGUGAUAAUAUUGGUGUUAAUUAUAAGGGGCAGCAACGCAUUGCCAAUGCAAAAGUUGAACCUCUAUGUAUCGUUGACUAAAUUGACUUGCGCCGGUCACACUCAUUCAUAAAGGGGAUUUAAAGUAAAGUAAAACAUAUAGAGGUAUCACUUACGAAGAAUGGUAAUCACUCAGAGCUCACUCGGGUCGUACAUUGUACUGUAUUCCAAGGGCGGGACUUUGCCACAACGGACUUUGCGCUGAACGCAUGUUGCUGGGGUUUACUUUCUAGGUAACGAUUGCCUUUCCGUUCUACUUCUAUGUAACGUCUACAAUCGACCCAUUGUGUAACUGAAAUACAAUUUUCAAGGACAAUACCGUGAACGGGGCAGCUCCAGUUUUGAGAUUCUAUUUCUUUUCCGUUCAAUCUCAACACGGCUAAUUUUUGUAUGUCUAUGUGUAAAGCGUUUAAAAUUUAAAAAAGCAUCUCGAAAGCGGAUGUAUGCGUUCUUCUUCUAUGCGUAGGAACAAUAUUUAACUUUGCGGUCGCUUGUCUUACCACGUUUACAAUACCCAUCGUACGUAGAAUGUCUCUUGGAAUCAAAUUAUCUCGCCACAGUUGUGAUGUGAUAGAAGAGAAGCAGCUUGUGCGAAUCAAUUUGCAAUAACAGUUGCCAACGAUUCAGUUGUCCUUGGUUAGGUCUACAAGGCCCAAGAAAGUUUAACGGCAUGCACCAUCAAGCGAAUGUUUAUUAGCGAGUAUUUUUCUUUUUUAGAAGAGAGCACCGCAAGCGUUGAGGUGCCACCACCAAAUCACUCAUAACAAUUAUAAAUAUCUCCUAAUUAGAUAAACCAAAGGCUUCAAAUUUCAGCAGUCGGCAUUAUAACGUGGGAAAGGUGUUUGUUGUACUUCUCUCAGAGCACCCACAAUGCAUCUAAGUUGCGUUUGUGUACAUAAUUAUAUUUGAUUCUGCUCUUGCUACCAAGUAAAAUCAUUCCGCUACUGAAGUUUAAAGGUUUUUCAAAAAAGCUAACUAAAAACUUUGAAGAUUAUUCUGACGGUAUUUUCUUCCUCUCCUCAAACAUGUUUGAUAGUUUUGGAAUGGGUUACACGUGCUUUAUGGCAAGAGAGAAGUAGACCUAGUGAAAAGAAGGGUCAAUCGUUGUUCUCUCGCAGAACUAGCAAUACAAACUGAGACGGUUUUUAAAUGAAUAAGUACACUUAAUAGCAAGCACAACAAAAUACUCAACACAAUCACAUCUCAUUAACUAAUGUGCAACGUAACGCGUAACGUGACUAUCGAAGCACAGUAUGUAGCCAUAAUGAAUGUUUAGCCAUGUUGUAGUAAUCCGUUUUGUGGAAUGUUUCACGUUAGGAAGGAGAAAGCGAACCUUCUGAUUGUCGACGCAUCUGGCGAGCAUGGUGCUAGUCGUAACAUCUCAUAACGGAGAACGGAGGGAAAUAAGGAUUAUUCCCAUAUUACAGACCGAAAACCAGGGUACUAUAACAACUUAACCCUCAUCUGUCGGCCGUCGUGCUUGAGUUUAGAUAGGAAAAAUAAUUUAUUUACUCCGGCUCAGUAAUAGGUUUUACCCCAGUGGGGAAAGGACACGCUAUCCCGUUCUAGUGCUGCUUUCGUCAGCAGUAGUGUACCCUGAAUACUAGCGGCAUACAGUGUGUAUCCUCAAUAAAAUGAUACCUAUGGUUAAGAUGGAUAGCAAAGAGCAGAGAAAAGAGAAACUGUAGAGAAACUUUUAGCAGAGCUAGUCGACCCCUCGUACGUUAACGUCUUUUUGCGUGGUUGCAGGAAACGGAAAUUAAUGUUAUUACGCCAACAUAAAUCAGCUGGCCCGAUCAUAUGUUGGCAUAGUUGGAAAACAGAGGGAUGUUACAUUUAAAAGACACUUAACAUUUUGCAAAUUAGGAAAUUUUAAAUCUACGUUAUGUCGCUACGGGAGAUAGUAGCGAAUUCUUAAUGAAAAACGAAAUCAGAAGAAAAAUACAAAAACAUUAAAAAUAUAGCAAAUGAUUUAUGAAUGUUCGCAUAUUGGCGAUUGAAUGUUUAUUGCAUUCGAAAUUCGAAAGACACAACCUAAAGUAAACCAAACA